GCCCCAUAGUCUGGGAUACCACUUGGAAACAGGUGCUAAUACCGGAUAAGAAAGCAGAUCGCAUGAUCAGCUUUUAAAAGGCGGCGUAAGCUGUCGCUAUGGGAUGGCCCCGCGGUGCAUUAGCUAGUUGGUAAGGUAAAGGCUUACCAAGGCGAUGAUGCAUAGCCGAGUUGAGAGACUGAUCGGCCACAUUGGGACUGAGACACGGCCCAAACUCCUACGGGAGGCAGCAGCU
Molecule: ribosomal RNA, 235 nt
Filed under: uncultured Lactobacillus sp.
Lineage: Bacteria; Bacillati; Bacillota; Bacilli; Lactobacillales; Lactobacillaceae
Description: partial 16S ribosomal RNA
Rfam family: Bacterial small subunit ribosomal RNA
Source: RNAcentral